RNAcentral lists this long non-coding RNA (847 nucleotides) under Mus pahari (shrew mouse). Its description in RNAcentral is "lncRNA (MGP_PahariEiJ_G0003290.1)". The record is from RNAcentral. Lineage: Eukaryota; Metazoa; Chordata; Mammalia; Rodentia; Muridae.
AGCGAGAGUAAGAAGUAUUGGCAGCAGCAAGCAGGCGGGCAGGCUGGGAUCUUGCACGGAAAUCAUGAACCCGGUCUUGCUUUCCGUUUUUUGAAACGUUUUGGAAGGAGAGUUAUGAAUAGCCCAGAAAUAGGUCUCAUUUUUGUGGGUAGGAAGAAUGACCAGAAGCAUGAAAGCUAAAUCUCCUGGCGAGUGCAGGGGACCACUCUUGGAGUGUGCAGUAAACCUGCGGAGGGGAAGACUUCAGCUGCUGUGAACUCCUGAACCAUCACAUCUGGAGUGAAGGGGCUGGUGAAGCCUUGUCAUAAACGCAAAGGAUGCUGCUGAGAGCUUUGAUCUGCCUUUAACUCAUUGUGAUGCUACUCCCAGUCUUCACUGAGAAACUGCUCUUGCCAGUGAAAGGCAGUGAAUGAAGAAGUGCCUGGCUGCUCAAGACUUUGAGAGUGACAUGUGUGUGCUCAACUCAGGAGGACAUUCAUCUCUUUCUCCAGGGCUCUAGGAACAAAGCUACAGUGGUGACAGGAAGAGUGUAAGAGCCCAGGACACCGGGAUGGGAGCUCUGAAGCUCUGUGCUGUACCAAGGACACAAUCGAUGCUAUCACCGCAUCAUGACAACAGAGGUCAGCAGUGGGUUUGUGCAAGACUGAGCAGGUCAGCAUUCAUUCAUUCAUAUAGAGAGAGGGCCCCUGCAGUCACAUCUUCACUGCUGAAUUAUGAGCUACUGAUGGAUUGUGGGAGGAACAAACAUUCUCUUUAGCCUUGUGCCCACUUCUGAGUUCACCAGGUUAAAGUGAGUAGUAGCUAAUCCAUGGACAUAAAUGGCCCUGAUUAAACGUAGUGGGUUAGG